This is a long non-coding RNA of Sitodiplosis mosellana (orange wheat blossom midge), 642 nucleotides long. RefSeq lists it as uncharacterized. NCBI's taxonomy places the organism in Eukaryota, Metazoa, Arthropoda, Insecta, Diptera, Cecidomyiidae. The transcript is spliced from 4 exons. The record is from RefSeq and is a predicted model, not a curated record.
GAGACAAUCGAUGAUAUUGCACUAUCGUUUAUCUUCUGUAUUACGCAUCACUAUAGAUGAUACAGAGAGCGACAGAUGCCGAAAGAUAUAAUAAUGAAUGCGGACACUGCAUUGGUGUUUGUGUAUCUCUGUGUGAGGAACAACGUAAAAUCUGUGUAGUUGUUGAUGUUAACUAAAAUGAAACACGAAUCGGAGCACUAAAGUGACCUCUGAAAAGAUUUUUUCCAUAGGACAGAAAUCGAUCGGUUUUUUACGGAAAUUUGCAACAAUUAGUAAGACUACAAGUGAAAAAUACUUCAGAAGUGCGCCGCAUCAAGGCAUCAUACGAAAAAAUAUCAUUAUUCAGGCGAUGAGACCGUAUUGAAUAUACCUGAUGUAAUUUGUUGAUAAAAAGCCAAGGUAGAACGAAUUGGGAUAAAUAAAGGUGUAAAAUGCUUUCAUCUGUUAAUAAGCUCUGGAAGUUCAUAAGUCAAUAUGGUUUGGAAACUAGUGCUCGAAGUUUGCAUUUUGACUAUCGUUGGUCUAGCGAUGGUGUCCGUGGUUGGAGCUGAAUGUCGUUGGACAGGAUACCACGCUCACUCAGCAGGCGACUGGGUAGUGAAUAUAGCUGAUAAGAACUUGAAUGUGAUUUGUUGGCAAUAA